CAUAACCUCAGAACUCCAGUUCAGUGUCCCAGCCAAAUGCUAGCCUUGGCCAAACAGCAAGCUUCCAUUUCUACCUGUAACACGUAGCACAUGCAGAAGCUGCAGGGACAGCUACAUCACAGCUCCACCACAGCCUUGGGUCCCCACUCUUCUUUCACAAUUUUUCACCUUCACCAACUGCAUUACUUUAGUCACUUCUGCAGCAACACUGCAGGCCAGCUAGCACUUUCUCCAGUUCCGUGCCAUCAAACUGGGAUGUCGCAACUAAACGACUGAGAUCUAAUUACAGAGGCAGAGCACGCCAGUAAAGAAGAUGAGCAACACGAGAAAAGACAGCACUAUCCCAAAGAGGCGCACGAGGGGGAGCUCAGCUGGCCGGGAGUGGGGCAAGUGGAUAUCACAAAGCUGCAGGAAAAGCACAGUGCAUGCAGUUUUGCUAGAUCUUCAGCCUUGAGAAGCCUUCACAAAGAAUGUUUGAAAAUCACUACAACAUCACAUACACCAAUGCUUUGCCUUUAGACUUCAGAGUAAUGAAGAGCGCUGCAGUCCAGUAAAUAUCGUGAAUAAACAGAAUACAGUGAGGAAGGAAAGUGGAGCAUAAGGAAGGAUAUACCUGAAUUAAGACCAUUGGCUACCUAUCAUGAAGCAGCACUUUUGUUUAAAAUUCAUGGAGAAGGUUCUGCAGUUUACCUGUGCUUAUUUCUCAAAAAGCUUCUGUGAAUUGCCCAUAAGAAAGAUAAUUUCUUGCUACACACAGGCAAGGCACUUGAUUUCAGGAUCAUUAUGAGAGAGAAAAGGAUUUCUUGUACUUGUGAGAUAAAAAGAAUAUCAAUAGUUACAGCAGACCUUGCCUAGGACACCAGAUCUAGUCUAUCACAAUUUGGUCUCAGAAGUAAUCCCAGAAAUACAGACAGAGGUUUCUAGGGAGAAGUAUCUUGGGUCCUUUAUUAUGUAAGAACAACCGCAAGACUAUGAAAUUACCAAUGCUUUUCUCUGUGC
Long non-coding RNA from Corapipo altera (White-ruffed manakin), 999 nucleotides. RefSeq lists it as uncharacterized. The record is from RefSeq and is a predicted model, not a curated record. Lineage: Eukaryota; Metazoa; Chordata; Aves; Passeriformes; Pipridae. The transcript has 3 exons.